GACGAACGCUGGCGGCGUGCUUAACACAUGCAAGUCGAACGGAAAGGCCUCAAGUUUACUUGGGGUACUCGAGUGGCGAACGGGUGAGUAAUACGUGAGUAACCUGCCCCUUACUUUGGGAUAAGCCCUGGAAACGGGGUCUAAUACUGAAUAUUUUGCUUCUGCCGCAUGGCGGGGGUUGGAAAGUUUUUCGGUAGGGGAUGGGCUCGCGGCCUAUCAGCUUGUUGGUGGGGUGAUGGCCUACCAAGGCUUCGACGGGUAGCCGGCCUGAGAGGGUGACCGGCCACAUUGGGACUGAGAUACGGCCCAGACUCCUACGGGAGGCAGCAGUGGGGAAUAUUGCACAAUGGGGGAAACCCUGAUGCAGCGACGCCGCGUGGGGGAUGAAGGCUUUCGGGUUGUAAACUCCUUUCAGCACAGAAGAAUUUGACGGUAUGUGCAGAAGAAGCGCCGGCUAACUACGUGCCAGCAGCCGCGGUAAUACGUAGGGCGCAAGCGUUGUCCGGAAUUAUUGGGCGUAAAGAGCUCGUAGGCGGUUUGUCGCGUCUGCUGUGAAAGUUCGGGGCUUAACCCUGGGAUUGCAGUGGGUACGGGCAGACUAGAGUGCGGUAGGGGUAAUUGGAAUUCCUGGUGUAGCGGUGGAAUGCGCAGAUAUCAGGAGGAACACCGAUGGCGAAGGCAGGUUACUGGGCCGUUACUGACGCUGAGGAGCGAAAGCAUGGGGAGCGAACAGG
Molecule: ribosomal RNA, 734 nt
Filed under: uncultured bacterium
Lineage: Bacteria
Description: bacterial SSU rRNA
Rfam family: Bacterial small subunit ribosomal RNA
Source: RNAcentral